RNAcentral lists this unclassified non-coding RNA (151 nucleotides) under soil metagenome. RNAcentral describes it as "partial internal transcribed spacer 1". The record is from RNAcentral.
UAAUAAGUGUUUUAUGGCACUUUUUUAAAUCCAUAUCCACCUUGUGUGCAAGUGUCGGUCGAUCUUCUUCAUUUGGAGGAUCGACCAAACAUCAACCUUUAUUUUUUAACUCUUUGUCUGAGAAAAUAUUAUGAAUAAACAAUUCAAAAUA